AAAGACUGAGGCCAGGCACAGUGGCUCACGCCUGUCAUCCCAGCCUUUUGGGAGGCCAAGACAGGAUCACUUGAGGUCAGGAGUUCAAGACCAGCCUGGCCAGCAUGGUGAAACCCUAUCUCUACUAAAAAUACAAAAAUUAGCCAGGCGUGGUGGCGUAUGCCUGUAAUCUCAGCUACUCGGGAAACAGGCAGGAGAGUCACUUGAACCCGGAAGGCAGACGUUGCAGUGACCUGAGAUCGUGCCACUGCACUCCAGCCUGGGCAACAGAGCAAGACACCAUCUCGCAAAAAAAAAAAAAAAAAAAAAAAAAAAGUGAGCAUCUGAUACACAUGCAAGAAUUUCACAACAUUGCAUUCACUCCUCCAGAAACAAAGAUAUAUUUUAAAAUGCUUUCUUAGCAUAUGUGCUCUGGUUUUCUAGCAGAUACUCUGUCAAACUUUUGAUAAGUGAAAAAUUUACCGAAGAAUUUAAAACCAAAAACAGUUUUUUAACUUUCCCACCUGAAAAUAUUGACCAUUUUCUAAUUUAUUUUCAUUAUAAAGAAUAUUGGUUAUCAUGGUUGCUCAUGCCUGUAAUUCUAGCACUUUGGUAGGCCAAGGCAGGCAAAUCACUCCUGAGCCCAGGAGUUCGAGACCAGCCUGGACAACAUAAUGAGACCUCCCUACAAAAUAUUUAAAAGUUAGCCAAGUGUGACAGUAUGUGCCUAUAGUCCCAGGCUGAGGUGGAUCACCUCAUUAGUGAGCCGUGAUUGUGUCACUGCACUCCAGCCUGAGUGACACAGACCCUGCCUCAAAAAAUAUAUAUAUAAAUACUAAAACAUCUGGAAGGAAAGAGGAGAAAAGGGAGUAUCAGCUUUUAAUACUUGUUACAAGGUCAGUCUAGAAAAUACAGUGAGAUUUGCUGGGUAAAUAGGUUUUGAACCAUGAAAAAAUUGAUGGCAUGCAAGAUCUUCCUCAAUAGACCUAAGAGUCUCAUUUCUAUUAAAAAAUACAAACAACUGCUUCAUUUUAUUCAUAAAUAAUUUUUUGAGGUGCUACAAAAAAUUAAAACUAAGCAGGAGUUUAAAGUUUUUGAAAAGCCAAGUAACAUUUUAUCUCUAACAUUUAUUGAAUCCUCUCCAGUAUUUACACAACGUAAAUGAGAUACUACACACAAAACCCUUGUGUCUGAAGGUAAAUUUAUUUAUUCUCAAAGACAACAAGAAGAGAAAGCACAUCAUGUAUUUUAAACUUUAGAAGCAACUGAGUCAUUAGUGUCUGGUGGACAGGAGCUAGGGAUCCUAUCCCUUCCCAACAAGGCCAAGAGUUCACCUGAGGUAAUGCAUUUGCCUUGGGGGCGAGGCCUUGAAUUGCAGCAAAUAACCUGUGUGUAUUUGCAUAUUUAACCAGUACUCUUAAGAAGGAUUAUACAAAAACCUGUUCCAGACAGCUGCUUACUCAUUGCCUUUAAAAUUGCGUGGUGCUGGGAUUGGCAGGUGCCAACUGUUUGCUCAUUCUCUUUGACCCACUAGCCUUGCAGUUUGCUGUGUGGGUGUUGAUACUCCUAAAUUAAAGCAGGGAAGGGGUGGUUUUAGAUGGCUUUUAACACCUGCUCUCCACCCAAGCACCCUGGAUUCAUUUGAUAUCUGGAUUCUAAUUCUGUAGUCAGGAGACUGGCCCAAACUGUGGCCCAGAGAGAAGUGAGUCAGUUGCAAGUGGCUAGCUGACUCUAUGGGAACAGAAAUAAAAUGCAGCUUAGAGAGUUUGUCAGCCAAAUCCACAAAUGUGUGGCUUUUUGAAACAUUGGACAUCUGUUCCUCUUAAUUUAAAAUAAACUUUUUUUUUUUUUUUUUUUAAGCACAAAGUUGCUUGGCUCCUUGUUUCUUUGUGUCAGCAGCAGUUGCUGCUCUAAUUUAGGAACCCUAGGAUCUGAUUUAGGACAUUUGGAAUCUUUAAGGCACAUUCGAUCUAGAAAGUGGAACUGAAUUGCUUUGGGAAGGCAAGAGGAUGAUUUUACAGUAUAGGGUUUGUGUGGAAAUCCCCUUCAGCAGUAAUCAACCCAGGUGUCCAACCUGUUUGUUAACCAUUUCCAAAUGACUCAGAGGACCUAGAGGGAGGGCUUGAACACACUCCAGCACUGUUUCUACAAUUUAGCCUUUAUUUGCAUUGGAAACCACAUUCCUGAAUUCUUGAGGGGGCAGGCUCUGGCUUAUUCUGGGCAACUGACUUCAAGUGGGACCCCUGAGCUACCUAUGUAAGCAAAGAGUCAGCCAUCUCUGGAGAGUUACCAGGGAGGAGGAUCUUUCUGUGAACUUGCUUUGAUGACCUCCACCCAAAGCCCUUUGAGGAACAGUUUUGUUUAUUCAAGGAGCCCUUGGCAGGUCACUCCUCCCCUACCACAAAUCUAAUCCAAAUGCGACAUUUUCCUUUGAGGCCAUCUAUCCCUUUUGGGGGACAAAACACAUCAGCUUUUCCCUUCAGACCACUUUUGACUGAAGCAGUGAUCAACAUUGCUUAAUUGUGUUCCAGUCUGUUUCCAGCGGGGAAAAAAUGCUUUAGGGGAGUGAGGCAGUUAGGGAUUUGAAAACAGGGAUGGUGCCGCCUGAAGGUGGGGAAUGACUUAGAUCACUGUCUUCCUUUGGCUCCUCACCAUGUUGUGUGGAGGAAACGAAAAGCAGCUCAAGUUCACUCCUCUUGGCAGUAGUGCAGAAGCCUGGCUUGCCACGGCCCUGGAGAACCAUGUUUUUCCCAACUUUUUUUUUUUUCUUUUGAGACGGAGUUUCACUCUUGUUGCCGAGGCUGGAGUGCAGUGGCGCAAUCUCGGCUCACUGCAGCCUCCGCCUUCCAGGUUCAAAGCGAUUCUCCUGCCUCAGCCUCUCAAGUAGCUGGGAUUACAGGUGCAUGCCACCACACUCGGCUAAUUUUUUGUAUUUUUUUCAGUAGAUACGGGGUUUCAUCAUGUUGGCCAGGCUGGUCUCGAACUCCUAACCUCAGGUGAUCCACCCGCCUCGGCCUCCCAAAGUGCUGGGAUUACAAGCAUGAACCACCAUGCCCAGCCUUUUUUUUUUUUUUUUUUUUUUUUAAUACAGAACACAAAUUUGAGUGUCAUUCUUGUGCAGGGGCCAUGCUAAUCUUCUGUAUAUUGUUCCAAUUUUGGUGUAUGUGCUGCCAAAGCAAGCACCCAGCUUCUUUUCAUUAGUUAAGAAGAUGAAGGCCAAGACUAAGGCAGGGAGGCCUUUCUCUGCCUUUCACUCUUUAGUGCACCUCACAGUCAGUUGCACUUGAGUAAGGACUGCUAAACCUCUCUGAGAGCUGCCAGAUGUUCCUGCCUAGCCUCAGGUUGUUGGUUCUUCAGACACCUCUUCAUUCUGCCCAUUGCACCAGCCCUUUCCCAUCUCCAUGUUCCCUCCAUGGUAAUUUCUUUGUACACAACAACCACACGGAGCACCAGCAAUCAAGAUUAGCUCCCGGGAACUCUGGCGUGCCCUGUACCAGGAAGCACAGUGGAUUACUACAACUUUUGAUAAUGAUUGUUUGCUUUGUACCAGGCAUUAUUUUCAGGGCUGUUUCACAUGUGUUGUACUUAACAACCCCAUGAGGAAAUUAAGGCAGGGUGGUUCAGUAAUUUGUCAAGGGAAACAAGGAAGUAGAGCAGGCAGCAGAGGCGUUCUGGCUCUGAACUACUCUGUUCUGUAGAAAUCAGUGCAAAAGUCCAAGCUUCAGCAUACUUGUUU
This 3715-nucleotide long non-coding RNA is filed under the name Homo sapiens (human). Its description in RNAcentral is "non-protein coding lnc-VMP1-8:1". The record is from RNAcentral. Lineage: Eukaryota; Metazoa; Chordata; Mammalia; Primates; Hominidae.